This is a small nucleolar RNA of Rattus norvegicus (Norway rat), 131 nucleotides long. Ensembl annotates it as small nucleolar RNA SNORA17. The record is from Ensembl. NCBI's taxonomy places the organism in Eukaryota, Metazoa, Chordata, Mammalia, Rodentia, Muridae.
UCUGCCACCUACAGGUAAAGCAGGUAUUUCUUUUGUGCCACACGUGUCAGUAGGUGGCAUAGAAGAGAGAGGAUGUGUCUCUGAUCAGUAUUCUGACCUUUAAACAUCUGAAUGAUUAGUAGUCUAGCAUU